GAUGAAGAACGUAGUGAAACGCGAUAAGUAAUGUGAAUUGCAGAAUCCAGUGAAUCAUCGAAUCUUUGAACGCACAUUGCGCCCGCCAGUAUUCUGGCGGGCAUGCCUGUUCGAGCGUCAUUUCAACCCUCGACCUCCCCUUGGGGAGGUCGGCGUUGGGGACCGGCAGCACACCGCCGGCCCUGAAAUGGAGUGGCGGCCCGUCCGCGGCGACCUCUGCGCAGUAAUACAGCUCGCACCGGGACCCCGACGCGGCCACGCCGUAAAACACCCAACUUCUGAACGUUGACCUCGAAUCAGGUAGGACUACCCGCUGAACUUAAGCAUAUCAAUAAGCGGAGGA
This 343-nucleotide unclassified non-coding RNA is filed under the name soil metagenome. RNAcentral's name for it is "partial contains 5.8S ribosomal RNA, internal transcribed spacer 2, and large subunit ribosomal RNA". The stretch from base 1 to 120 matches the Rfam family "5.8S ribosomal RNA", at positions 35 to 154 of the family's 154-position model. The record is from RNAcentral.